This 966-nucleotide ribosomal RNA is filed under the name Triticum aestivum (bread wheat). Its description in RNAcentral is "partial small subunit ribosomal RNA". Lineage: Eukaryota; Viridiplantae; Streptophyta; Magnoliopsida; Poales; Poaceae. The record is from RNAcentral.
CGACUAAAUCCAAAAUCCCCAAAUCUAAAUCCUCUCACGCACUCCCUCCGCCGCCGACCGCUCGCUACAUGGCAGCCCGCACGCCGACCACCCGCCGUCUCCAACACGCCGUCACCGCGGUAGCAAGGUCGCUGCCCUAUUUCCUUCAUCCUCCCGCAGCCCCAUUGCUUAGCCCCCAAACACUUCUAACCCUAGCUUGUGCGUUGGAGUUUAGGGAGAGGCCAAUGCGCGGUGGUGGACGCCGCCGUCCCUCUCAGAUCUGGGGCUGAGGGGGGGGAGGUGGUUCACCUCCGAGAGAGAGCACUCACACCCUUGUUCGUAACCCAGGCGCCGCUACCGCUGCCGCCACGCCAUGGGUUUCCUCCGAUCUGCGCCCACUGGUUCGUUUCAAAAAGGAUAUGCCCGUUGACUGCUGGGGCUUCCCCUCCCCCGACGAUCUGCCAUGACUUGGGAUAAUACUUCUAUCCAGCAAGCAGUGCUUUGGCUGGGAGCUCAAGCACAAGCAGAACGUCAAAAACAUGGGCUCUAUAUGCUAAUGGGGUAGCUGGCAAUGCAGUCUAAGGGCUGGCUACUGCUCAUCUGAUUUCUGGAUAUGAGAUGAUGAGAACUUGAGCAGAACAAGCUUGAUGCUAUGAUUGCAAAAAAAACUGUAUUACAGGUGAGAGUUGAGACACACCAUACACAGGCUCUGCAAGCGGGCGGAAAUAGACCUCUUCGUUGAUGACUUCUACGAGGAUGAUGUUGACCUAGAGGCUGGAGCUUUGCUACUCUUUCCGGCCAACAACAAGGAAUGACAUAAAAUAGGACCAGGAAGGAACCAUGAAGAUAGCAGUUUGCGUCAGCUAGACAUUUUGUGUAAUGGAGCAAAAACAAUGCGUCUUUUAGUUAUCAUUUUGCAAACCUAUAUAGUGUCUUGUCAACUAGGUCUUUUGCGUAAUGGACCAAACAAUGAAUCGUCGGGCGUGC